RNAcentral lists this ribosomal RNA (497 nucleotides) under uncultured bacterium. Its description in RNAcentral is "partial 16S ribosomal RNA". It matches the Rfam family "Bacterial small subunit ribosomal RNA", at positions 28 to 507 of the family's 1533-position model. The record is from RNAcentral.
GAUGAACGCUGGCGGCGUGCCUAAUACAUGCAAGUCGAGCGAACGGACGAGAAGCUUGCUUCUCUGAUGUUAGCGGCGGACGGGUGAGUAACACGUGGAUAACCUACCUAUAAGACUGGGAUAACUUCGGGAAACCGGAGCUAAUACCGGAUAAUAUUUUGAACCGCAUGGUUCAAAAGUGAAGGGCGGUCUUGCUGUCACUUAUAGAUGGAUCCGCGCUGCAUUAGCUAGUUGGUAAGGUAACGGCUUACCAAGGCAACGAUGCAUAGCCGACCUGAGAGGGUGAUCGGCCACACUGGAACUGAGACACGGUCCAGACUCCUACGGGAGGCAGCAGUAGGGAAUCUUCCGCAAUGGGCGAAAGCCUGACGGAGCAACGCCGCGUGAGUGAUGAAGGUCUUCGGAUCGUAAAACUCUGUUAUUAGGGAAGAACAUAUGUGUAAGUAACUGUGCACAUCUUGACGGUACCUAAUCAGAAAGCCACGGCUAACUACGUG